ACCCGCUGAAUUUAAGCAUAUCAAUAAGCGGAGGAGAGGAAACUAACCAGGAUUCCCCCAGUAGCGGCGAGUGAAGCGGGAAGAGCCCAAGCCUUUAAUCUCCGGCCUCGGCGAAUUGUAGUCUGGAGACGGGUCUUCUUCCUCCCAAAGUCGUCGUGGAAAGGCGCGCCUGAGAGGGUGAGAGCCCCGUCGAGUCGGGUUGUUUGGGAUUGCAGCCCCAAGCGGGUGGUAAACUCCAUCCAAGGCUAAGUAUCUGCACGAGACCGAUAGCGAACAAGUACCGUGAGGGAAAGA
This 294-nucleotide ribosomal RNA is filed under the name Chondrilla nucula (chicken liver sponge). RNAcentral describes it as "partial 28S ribosomal RNA". It matches the Rfam family "Eukaryotic large subunit ribosomal RNA", at positions 23 to 364 of the family's 3401-position model. The record is from RNAcentral. Lineage: Eukaryota; Metazoa; Porifera; Demospongiae; Chondrillida; Chondrillidae.